Equus caballus (horse) is the source of this 2098-nucleotide long non-coding RNA. The record is from Ensembl. Lineage: Eukaryota; Metazoa; Chordata; Mammalia; Perissodactyla; Equidae.
GAUUCCAUUUAUAUGACAUUUUUGAAGUGACAAAAUUUUAGAAAUGAAAGACAGAUUAUAGUUGCCAAAGGUUUGGGAAUGGGGACAGAAGGAAGUGAGUGUGGCUACAAAAGGGCAACAUGAAAGAUCUUAUGGUUUUGGAACUGUUCAGUAUCUUGCCUGUUGUAGUGGAUACACACACCUACACAGGUGAUAAAAUUGUGUAGAAUUUAAUACAGAGACACAGACACACAAAAGACUACAAGUGGAACAAAUUUAAAUAAGAUCAGUAGAUUGUAUCAAUUGUGGUUGUGAUAUUAUACUAUAAUUUUGCAAAUUGUUACCAUUGGGGGAUACUGGAAAAGUGCACAAGGGAUCUCUCUGGGUUAUUUCUUACAAUUGCAUGUAAAUCUACAAUUAUCUCAAUGAACAAAAACUUUGAUGGAAAAAGUCUUUUGUAAUCCACUCCCAAUUGAGUUUCUCGCACUUCUUUCAUUACCCUGCAAUUUAAAGAACCUAUCAAGAAGUCAGAGGAGGAGUAUUUGAUGUUUCUAAAUGAGAGCCCUCUCUUAUAUUCAUAUCUUCUCCUCAGUUCUUUAUGAUGUUUCUAAAUGAGAACCCCCUCUUGUAUUCAUAUCUUCUCCUGGCUUCUUUAUCACGUGAUGUACAGCAUGUGCCAAUUAGGAAUUUAAAUGCUUCCAGAUGGACCCAACUGCUUCAGCUCUCUCAGCACCAAGGCUAUCACUUAAAGUCAAACAUGUCCUCUCCAUUGUCCAGCAUCCAUACAUCAAAAGAUGAGCUCCAGUUUUACAUACAUCCCCCUAUGUGGCAAGCAGGUGAUCAUUUAUAAUCCAGUCACAGAGGGGCCUAUAAAAAUCCUUCAAGCCAAAAAGAAUACAGAAUGAUAGCAGAUGCUCUUACCAGGAACAGACCUUCUCGACUGAGCCAACUUCGUGUCUGCAGGUGCAUCGCAGGUGGGAAGGCAAGUUGUUAGUACAGGACCAGGGAUAAGAAAGUAGAUGGGGAAUGCUUAAACCUACACAAAACACCUGUGCACUCAAUGUACCGAGUACACCUGUGUACUCAGCUCAGCUAGUCACUGGGGAGUACCAGACUCAACAGUUUGUAAUAUAAUCACCUAAAAACUCCAACCAUGGUCUCCCACUAAGUUCCACUGGAAGUUCCUAGACACAGCUAAGUCACAAGGAAACAAAAAGAUGAAGAAAGUUUCAACAUUUACUCUCCAAUUAAGUGACCUCUUGUAAAGAAACAGUUAUCAAACAUGCUAUCAGGUUUGAGUGGGAGAGCAAAUUCCCAGAAAGUCCCAUAAAAGGGGGAGUAAACUGUGACCACACUAGAUUGCCAGAGCGGGUAAACACAGAAAGGAAUGAGAUUUGACCGGAAAAGCUUCAGGAAUUCGUGAAGAAGCCCAGCAGUGAAGGGGCUGUAGGUGAAAGGUUUGGCAAUCGUCAAAGGGCCAGGCUGGCGGAGGAGGCAGACUGUAGGGUGCUCAUGUCAGGAACCAUUUCUUCAAGGCAGACAGACAUGGGUAACUGAGGCAGGGGAAGAAGGCAGUAUGAAAAAGUUCCCACAUCUCUCUCACUGGCUCUUGGGGCAGAUUUGAUUCUCCAAGGAUAUCACACUGUUCAAUGAGGAAAUUCACGGCUAUUGCCAUGGGAGCCAACGCCGAGUACCAGACAGCACAACUGUGAUGAAUCAAGGGCAGGGGCACCAAAUGAGAAAGAGGGUAAGACAUCCAAGGGAAGAGUAAGGGAGACCGUGGAAGACAGACAGAGCUGGCCACUGGAGCCUGAAGAGCUGGGCCAAUCAUUGAUCUCGGAAUGUAUCAAUCUUUUUUGAUCUGCAAGUUGAAAGGUGCAAGUGGCCAUCAUUCAGAUAUGGGAAAUUAAGGAGUAAUCCAACAUGGAAUAUGGACUUUGACAUGCCAUAACAUAGAUGCUGCUGUAAGCUAUUGGUUCAAUAUUUCCCAAAGUAUAUUCUAUGGGAUUUAAAUAAGGAUCUGUGACAAAAGUGGGCAUGCUUGAAUAAAUUUUGGAAAAGAUAGAUCACACCAAAGUAAGUACAUUUCUCUCUGAAAGACUACUCAGAGUCAUUAAUU